CGCAAGCCUGACGGAGCAACGCCGCGUGUGGGAAGAAGGCUCUUGGGCUGUCAACCACUUUUCUCAGGGAAGAAGUCCUGACGGUACCUGAGGAAUCAGCCUCGGCUAACUCCGUGCCAGCAGCCGCGGUAAUACGGAGGAGGCAAGCGUUAUCCGGAAUUAUUGGGCGUAAAGCGUCCGCAGGGGGCACAUCAAGUUUGCUGUUAAAGGCUGGAGCUUAACUCCGGUAGAGCAGUGGAAACUGGUGUGCUAGAGGGCGACAGGGGUAGAGGGAAUUCCCAGUGUAGCGGUGAAAUGCGUAGAGAUUGGGAAGAACACCGGUGGCGAAAGCGCUCUACUGGGUCGCACCUGACCCUCAGGGACGAAGGCUAAGGUAGCG
Molecule: ribosomal RNA, 379 nt
Filed under: uncultured cyanobacterium
Lineage: Bacteria; Bacillati; Cyanobacteriota
Description: bacterial SSU rRNA
Rfam family: Bacterial small subunit ribosomal RNA
Source: RNAcentral